RNAcentral lists this ribosomal RNA (290 nucleotides) under uncultured cyanobacterium. Its description in RNAcentral is "partial 16S ribosomal RNA". It matches the Rfam family "Bacterial small subunit ribosomal RNA", at positions 409 to 714 of the family's 1533-position model. The record is from RNAcentral. Lineage: Bacteria; Bacillati; Cyanobacteriota.
GGAAGGCCUUUGGGUUGUAAACCUCUUCUCUCAGGGAAGAAGAUCUGACGGUACCUGAGGAAUAAGCAUCGGCUAACUCCGUGCCAGCAGCCGCGGUAAUACGGAGGAUGCAAGCGUUAACCGGAAUUAUUGGGCGUAAAGCGUCCGCAGGUGGUCUUUCAAGUCUGCUGUCAAAGACCAGAGCUUAACUCUGGGCAGGCGGUGGAAACUGAGAGACUAGAGUUCGGUAGGGGUAGCGGGAAUUCCCAGUGUAGCGGUGAAAUGCGUAGAUAAUGGGAAGAACAUCGGUG